This 425-nucleotide ribosomal RNA is filed under the name uncultured bacterium. RNAcentral's name for it is "partial 16S ribosomal RNA". It matches the Rfam family "Bacterial small subunit ribosomal RNA", at positions 354 to 796 of the family's 1533-position model. The record is from RNAcentral.
GUUAGGAAUAUUGGACAAUGGGCGCAAGCCUGAUCCAGCCAUGCCGCGUGAGUGAUGAAGGCCUUCGGGUUGUAAAGCUCUUUAGUCCACGAAUAUAAUGACUGUAGUGGAAGAAUAAGCCCCGGCUAACUUCGUGCCAGCAGCCGCGGUAAUACGAAGGGGGCGAGCGUUAUUCGGAAUCACUGGGCGUAAAGCGUGCGUAGGCUGUUUUGUAAGUCAGAAGUGAAAGCCCAGGGCUUAACCCUGGAAUUGCUUUUGAAACUACAAGACUCGAAUUCGGGAGAGGAUAGCGGAAUUGUCAGUGUAGCAGUGAAAUGCGUAGAUAUUGACAGGAACACCAGUGGCGCAAGCGGCUAUCUGGACCAAUAUUGACGCUGAGGCACGAAAGCGUGGGGAGCAAACAGGAUUAGAUACCCUAGUAGUCC